ACAUCAGCAACUGUGUCAGUUGCUGAAAUAGAAGCAGGGGUGGUGGUAGUGUCAACAUCAGCAAUUGUGGUGUCAGUUGCAGUAACAGAAGCAAGGUUGAUGGUAGUGUCAACAUCAGCGAUUGUUGUGUCAGUUGCAGAAAUAGAAGCAGGGGUGGUGGUAGUGUCAACAUCAGCAAUUGUAGCGUCAGUUGCAGUAAUAGAAUUAGGGGUGGUGGUAGUGUCAACAUCAGCAAUUGUGAUGUCAGUUGCUGUAACAAAAGCAGGGGUGGUGGUAGUGUCAACAUCAGCAAUUGUGGUGUCAGUUGCUGAAAUAGAAGCGGAGAAGGUGGUAGUGCCAACAUGAGCAGGUUUGGUGUCAGUUGCUGUAACAGAAGCAGGGUUGGUGGUAGUGUCAACAUCAGCAAUUGUGGUGUCAGUUGCUGAAAUAGAAGCGGAGAAGGUGGUAUUGCCAACAUGAGCAAUUUUGGUGUCAGUUGCUGUAACAGAAUCAGAGGCGGUGGUAUUGUCAACAUCAGCAAUUUUGGUGUCAGUUGCAGGAAUAGAACCAGAGGUGGUGGUAGUGUCAACAUCAGCAAAUGUUGUGUCAGUUGCAGAAAUAGAAACUGGGGUGGUGGUAGUGUCAACAUCAGCAAUUGUGGUGUCAGUUGCUGAAAUAGAAGCGGAGAAGGUGGUAGUGCCAAUAUGAGCAAUUUUGGUGUCAGUUGCUGUAACAGAAGCAGGG
This is a long non-coding RNA of Astyanax mexicanus (Mexican tetra), 723 nucleotides long. RefSeq lists it as uncharacterized. The record is from RefSeq and is a predicted model, not a curated record. Lineage: Eukaryota; Metazoa; Chordata; Actinopteri; Characiformes; Acestrorhamphidae. The transcript is spliced from 3 exons.